Molecule: ribosomal RNA, 497 nt
Filed under: uncultured bacterium
Lineage: Bacteria
Description: partial 16S ribosomal RNA
Rfam family: Bacterial small subunit ribosomal RNA
Source: RNAcentral
GAUGAACGCUGGCGGCGUGCCUAAUACAUGCCAGUCGAGCGAACAGAUGAGGAGCUUGCUCCUCUGACGUUAGCGGCGGACGGGUGAGUAACACGUGGAUAACCUACCUAUAAGACUGGGAUAACUUCGGGAAACCGGAGCUAAUACCGGAUAAUAUAUUGAACCGCAUGGUUCAAUAGUGAAAGACGGUUUUGCUGUCACUUAUAGAUGGAUCCGCGCCGCAUUAGCUAGUUGGUAAGGUAACGGCUUACCAAGGCAACGAUGCGUAGCCGACCUGAGAGGGUGACCGGCCACACUGGAACUGAGACACGGUCCAGACUCCUACGGGAGGCAGCAGUAGGGAAUCUUCCGCAAUGGGCGAAAGCCUGACGGAGCAACGCCGCGUGAGUGAUGAAGGUCUUCGGAUCGUAAAACUCUGUUAUUAGGGAAGAACAAAUGUGUAAGUAACUAUGCACGUCUUGACGGUACCUAAUCAGAAAGCCACGGCUAACUACGUG